AGUCGAACGAUGAAGCCUAGCUUGCUGGGUGGAUUAGUGGCGAACGGGCGAGUAACACGUGAGUAACCUGCCCUUAACUCUGGGAUAAGCCUGGGAAACUGGGUCUAAUACCGGAUAGGAGCGUCCACCGCAUGGUGGGUGUUGGAAAGAUUUAUCGGUUUUGGAUGGACUCGCGGCCUAUCAGCUUGUUGGUGAGGUAAUGGCUCACCAAGGCGACGACGGGUAGCCGGCCUGAGAGGGUGACCGGCCACACUGGGACUGAGACACGGCCCAGACUCCUACGGGAGGCAGCAGUGGGGAAUAUUGCACAAUGGGCGCAAGCCUGAUGCAGCGACGCCGCGUGAGGGAUGACGGCCUUCGGGUUGUAAACCUCUUUCAGUAGGGAAGAAGCGAAAGUGACGGUACCUGCAGAAGAAGCACCGGCUAACUACGUGCCAGCAGCCGCGGUAAUACGUAGGGUACGAGCGUUAUCCGGAAUUAUUGGGCGUAUAGAGCUCGUAGGCGGUUUGUCGCGUCUGUCGUGAAAGUCCGGGGCUUAACCCCGGAUCUGCGGUGGGUACGGGCAGACUAGAGUGCAGUAGGGGAGACUGGAAUUCCUGGUGUAGCGGUGGAAUGCGCAGAUAUCAGGAGGAACACCGAUGGCGAAGGCAGGUCUCUGGGCUGUAACUGACGCUGAGGAGCGAAAGCAUGGGGAGCGAACAGGAUUAGAUACCCUGGUAGUCCAUGCCGUAAACAUUGGGCACUAGGCGUGGGGACCAUUCCACGGUUUCCGCGCCGCAGCUAACGCAUUAAGUGCCCCGCCUGGGGAGUACGGCCGCAAGGCCAAAACUCAAAGGAAUUGACGGGGGCCCGCACAAGCGGCGGAGCAUGCGGAUUAAUUCGAUGCAACGCGAAGAACCUUACCAAGGCUUGACAUGUUCUCGAUCACCGUAGAGAUACGGUUUCCCCUUUGGGGCGGGUUCACAGGUGGUGCAUGGUUGUCGUCAGCUCGUGUCGUGAGAUGUUGGGUUAAGUCCCGCAACGAGCGCAACCCUCGUUCCAUGUUGCCAGCACGUCGUGGUGGGGACUCAUGGGAGACUGCCGGGGUCAACUCGGAGGAAGGUGAGGACGACGCCAAAUCAUCAUGCCCCUUAUGUCUUGGGCUUCACGCAUGCUACAAUGGCCGGUACAAUGGGUUGCGAUACUGUGAGGUGGAGCUAAUCCCAAAAAGCCGGUCUCAGUUCGGAUUGGGGUCUGCAACUCGACCCCAUGAAGUCGGAGUCGCUAGUAAUCGCAGAUCAGCAACGCUGCGGUGAAUACGUUCCCGGGCCUUGUACACACCGCCCGUCAAGUCACGAAAGUUGCUAACACCCGAAGCCGGUGGCCUAACCCUUGUGGGGGGAGG
RNAcentral lists this ribosomal RNA (1384 nucleotides) under Micrococcus luteus. RNAcentral's name for it is "16S ribosomal RNA". It matches the Rfam family "Bacterial small subunit ribosomal RNA". Lineage: Bacteria; Bacillati; Actinomycetota; Actinomycetes; Micrococcales; Micrococcaceae. The record is from RNAcentral.